CUAAAAACCUAGCCCAACAAACAUGAAUUUUACUAAAUUAACUAANNCCCUCUUAACAAACCAUUUUAACAUUCUAGUAAAGGAGAUUGAAAAAACUUAUUUGGAGCUAUAAAAACAGUACCGCAAGGGAACGGUGAAAUAUUAUGAAAAACUUCAAGCAGCAAAAAGUAAAGAUUACCUCUUGUACCUUUCGCAUCAUGGUUUAACUAGUCUAACCAAGCAAAACGUAUUUAAGUUUGACUUCCCGAAACUAAGUGAGCUACUUCAGGGCAGCUAGAAGAGCAAACCCGUCUCUGUAGCAAAAGAGUGGGACGACCCUCAAGUAGUGGUGACAGACCUAACGAACUUAGUGAUAGCUGGUUACUCAAGAAACGGAUUUAAGUCCAACCUGAAAGUUUUAUAACCUAAGUUCAUCAAAACAAUCACCUAGCUUUCAGCGUAAUUCAAAUAAGGUACAGCCUAUUUGAAACAGGAUACAACCUAGCCUAAUGGAUAAGAUCAGCCUAACAUACAAUCAAGUGGGCCUAAAAGCAGCCACCUUUAAUACAGCGUCAAAGCUAAAUUGUAACCGAGCCCAAUUACUUAACCCAUAUCUUAAUCCCCUGCCAAUACUGAGUAAUUCUAUAAUAUUAUAGAAAUUUUUAUGUUAAAACUAGUAACAAGAAGAAGAUUCUUCUCUUAAAUGUACGUAUAAAUCAGAAAAGACAAGCUACUGAUACUUAACACCUCUGAGCAUAAA
This 739-nucleotide ribosomal RNA is filed under the name Bufo bufo (common toad). RNAcentral describes it as "partial 16S ribosomal RNA". The stretch from base 166 to 739 matches the Rfam family "Bacterial large subunit ribosomal RNA", at positions 568 to 1401 of the family's 2925-position model. Lineage: Eukaryota; Metazoa; Chordata; Amphibia; Anura; Bufonidae. The record is from RNAcentral.